UAGGGAAUCUUGGUAAUCUGGGAAACCGGGAACCAGCAACGCCGCGUGCGCGAUGAAGGCCUUCGGGUUGUAAAGCGCUUUUUGAGAGGAUGAGGAAGGACAGUACUCUUAGAAUAAGCCUCGGCUAACUACGUGCCAGCAGCCGCGGUAAAACGUAGGCGGCGAGCGUUAUCCGGAUUUACUGGGCGUAAAGCGUGUGUAGGCGGUUUGAUAAGUUGGAUGUGAAAGCUCCUGGCUUAACGGGGGGAGGUCGUUCAAAACUAUCAGGCUUGAGAGUGGUAGAGGGAGGUGGAAGGCCGCAUGUAGUGGUGAAAUGCGUAGAUAUGCGGAGGAACACCAGUGGCGAAAGCGGCCUCCUGGCCCAUUUCUGACGCUCAGACACGAAAGCUAAGGUAGCAAACG
This 402-nucleotide ribosomal RNA is filed under the name uncultured prokaryote. RNAcentral describes it as "bacterial SSU rRNA". It matches the Rfam family "Bacterial small subunit ribosomal RNA", at positions 355 to 774 of the family's 1533-position model. The record is from RNAcentral.